This 710-nucleotide ribosomal RNA is filed under the name uncultured bacterium. Its description in RNAcentral is "bacterial SSU rRNA". It matches the Rfam family "Bacterial small subunit ribosomal RNA", at positions 94 to 823 of the family's 1533-position model. The record is from RNAcentral.
AGCGGCGGACGGGUGAGUAACGCGUGGGUAACCUGCCCUGUACACACGGAUAACAUACCGAAAGGUAUGCUAAUACGAGAUAAUAUGCUUUUAUCGCAUGGUAGAAGUAUCAAAGCUCCGGCGGUACAGGAUGGACCCGCGUCUGAUUAGCUAAUUGGUAAGGUAACGGUUUACCAAGGCGACGAUCAGUAGCCGACCUGAGAGGGUGAUCGGUCACAUUGGAACUGAGACACGGUCCAAACUCCUACGGGAGGCAGCAGUGGGGAAUAUUGCACAAUGGGCGAAAGCCUGAUGCAGCAACGCCGCGUGAGCGAUGAAGGCCUUCGGGUCGUAAAGCUCUGUCCUCAAGGAAGAUAAUGACGGUACUUGAGGAGGAAGCCCCGGCUAACUACGUGCCAGCAGCCGCGGUAAUACGUAGGGGGCUAGCGUUAUCCGGAAUUACUGGGCGUAAAGGGUGCGUAGGUGGUUUCUUAAGUCGGAGGUGAAAGGCUACGGCUCAACCGUAGUAAGCCUUUGAAACUGGGAAACUUGAGUGCAGGAGAGGAGAGUGGAAUUCCUAGUGUAGCGGUGAAAUGCGUAGAUAUUAGGAGGAACACCAGUUGCGAAGGCGGCUCUCUGGACUGUAACUGACACUGAGGCACGAAAGCGUGGGGAGCAAACAGGAUUAGAUACCCUGGUAGUCCACGCCGUACACGAUGAGUACUAGCUGU